GCCGAAGGUGGGGCUGAUGACUGGGGUGAAGUCGUAACAAGGUAGCCGUACCGGAAGGUGCGGCUGGAUCACCUCCUAACAGGGAGACAACAACUGAUCAUGAUGUCUGAGUAUUUAAUCUUAGGCCUUGAUCCUGUCACCUUAGGUCGAUCGGUACCUCAAAUUACUGUCACUUAAACCAUCCAAAAUGGUUUUUUGACUUUCAUUUUAGUUCCUAAACUUGUCUAGGUCACACCCCGCAAGGGUUACUCCUGGGCCAUUAGCUCAGGUGGUUAGAGCGCACCCCUGAUAAGGGUGAGGUCCCUGGUUCAAGUCCAGGAUGGCCCAUUCGGUGUUGGGGGUUUAGCUCAGUUGGUAGAGCGCCUGCUUUGCAAGCAGGAUGUCAGCGGUUCGAGUCCGCUAACCUCCACUGACCGCCCCCCUUUUGAACCCAAAUGUGAGGGCUUUUGUGAGAUGUGAUUUAGAAAAUGUCGCUGAUUGAACCUAGCUUCUUAUCAUUCCAACUCCAAAAUUUCUAAAUUUAAUUUUUGGAUGAGGUUGACAAGAUGCUGGGCUCUUUGGGGUUCCUAGUGGAUUCCAAUUAUGUUCAGUAGAACCUUGACAACUGCAUAGGUAAGUCUAGAAAGAAUAAAGCAUCUCAUGGAUGCGUAGUUUUCGUUUUUUAAUGGAAACUAUGCUUAAUUCUUGAGCAAGAGCUGAGACUCUAUUACAAUCUUUUGAUGAAAAAUAUCAUCAAGAGUUAGAUCAAUAAUUCUGUUUUGAAUUAUUGAGAAUGCGUAUUCAACUACGUGAAUUGUAUAGAGGUUAAUUUGGUCAAGCUACAAAG
RNAcentral lists this unclassified non-coding RNA (826 nucleotides) under uncultured Prochlorococcus sp. RNAcentral's name for it is "partial may contain 16S ribosomal RNA, 16S-23S ribosomal RNA intergenic spacer, and 23S ribosomal RNA". The stretch from base 337 to 409 matches the Rfam family "tRNA". The record is from RNAcentral. Lineage: Bacteria; Bacillati; Cyanobacteriota; Cyanophyceae; Synechococcales; Prochlorococcaceae.